AAAAAAAUAAAAAAAGCAAAAAAUAAAAAAUAAAAAUAAGGUGGAAAACCAAAAACCACCUAUCCCCUAGGAAAAAAAAAGUUGGAAAAUCACGCUUUAAGGUGUUGUACCUAGAAAUUCAUGGAAAAUCAAUUCCCUGAAAAAUUUUGUCAAUCAAACAGGCCAAAAGUGGAAGUUGGAAUUCGAAUUCCAAGUUCCAUGGAAAAUUUCGUGUAAUCAAACGGGGCCUAAAUUCAAAUGAGUGGACACUUUUCAACUCAUACCCUUAAAAUUGGACAUUCUUAAAAAUGCUCCUAAAUUUAAAUAUCA
This 309-nucleotide long non-coding RNA is filed under the name Olea europaea (common olive). Its description in RNAcentral is "long non-coding RNA (OEUR_LNC009129)". Lineage: Eukaryota; Viridiplantae; Streptophyta; Magnoliopsida; Lamiales; Oleaceae. The record is from RNAcentral.